RNAcentral lists this ribosomal RNA (228 nucleotides) under uncultured bacterium. RNAcentral's name for it is "partial 16S ribosomal RNA". It matches the Rfam family "Bacterial small subunit ribosomal RNA", at positions 568 to 795 of the family's 1533-position model. The record is from RNAcentral.
UGCGUAGGCGGAAAAUUAAGUCAGUGGUGAAAUCCUGCAGCUUAACUGUAGAACUGUCAUUGAUACUGGUUUUCUUGAAUACAGUUGAGGUAGGCGGAAUGUGUAAUGUAGCGGUGAAAUGCUUAGAUAUUACACAGAACGCCGAUUGCGAAGGCAGCUUACUAAACUGUUAUUGACGCUGAGGUACGAAAGCGUGGGGAGCGAACAGGAUUAGAUACCCUGGUAGUC